Molecule: long non-coding RNA, 1313 nt
Organism: Numida meleagris (helmeted guineafowl)
Lineage: Eukaryota; Metazoa; Chordata; Aves; Galliformes; Numididae
Source: Ensembl
UUGCCACUGACACCCCACUACAGAUUAUAUACUCUGAGUUUGGGGGCAAUACUGUGUUUUACCACUUCUGAAUCGAGUUAAGAUUGCAAAGAAUUGAUGGGAACGAAAAUUCAAAAUCAAAGGGAAAGCAAUGUUUUCUUCCUACUCUGACUAGCUGUGCUUUCUUUUCCCUCCCUCUCUUUUCCCCAGGGUGUCUGACACAUGGUGAAUCACAGCCAUCAGCGCUAAUACAAGGCUCAGCUGAGGCAGAGGGAGGAGAGGAAGGAGGAGAAAGAAAGAAAAGGUUGGAAAUCACAGCCACCUGUCUGCAGCUGGGGUGCUUCUUAUCAGAGGAUGUGAGGUGAAGAAUCCUUGCAGACCUUGUGAGCAGGAGCUGCACUUUUUCCCGUUCCAGCUUCCCGGUUCCAGCUUCAGAAGGCAGUGAUGUUGCACUGCAGCCAAGCCCUCUCCGCCAGUCCCUCCAACAGACUGCACCAAAUGUAACUUCCUCUCCCUUCACUGCAUUACACAGUCUUGAAGUUCAUUAAUACCAAAUUUGGCAUUCGCUUUAUGCCUCGAAUACAAAUUUUAAAGGCCAGACAGGAAUUACCUGGAGGCCUCCCUCUUUGCACAGGAGACUGUACAGAACAGUAGCAGAAUAUUGCGCCCUUGCCUCUCAUUGACGGUUACCCACCCCGUGUUUUUAUUGGGUUAGGAGACUUCUUUUUACUGAAACUGAUUCUCAAAUGUCCACAGCCACAAAAUCUCUGCAGGCUACAAGUACAGCAGAAUUUUGAUCAUCUCUCACUCCUCAGCCUGCUUUCCUGGUGCUCCGCACUUUGAACAAUCAAAUUGAAGCAACUGUCUGCAGUUCCCAUGGAUUUAUUCUGAGCAAGGGCACCAAGAAUCCCCAGCAUCAGAAUUAAUCAUACAGAAUCAAGAAAAAUACGUUUAAAUUCAGCUGCAGCAGGGAACCUGCUAUGGGAUAAACUCUUGAGUUCUAGUGUACCCAGCAUCCCGCCUUGCCAUCCCUAUUGUGUUUCUAAAAAUGAAACUAGCUAUAUAAAUGAUUUUUACUGCCCAAGGUGAGAGAAAAGCAAAAGAAACAAACCACAAAACUACGUGAAAAGCUUUAAUUAGAACAGUAUUUUAUAAUUCUCAAAGGAGGUUUAAGGACAGUAUCAUAUGUACAGAAAUGUGUAACUUUAUUGUGUUGUGUGUUUGAAGAUUGAGACUGAGCACUUCCACCUUAUAACCUAAGCAUGAGCUGCAACUGAAAUAAUAACGCACACAAACAGAAAAUUCUGCAGUUUCAGAAACUAAUGGACACAAGA